RNAcentral lists this ribosomal RNA (899 nucleotides) under uncultured Klebsiella sp. RNAcentral describes it as "bacterial SSU rRNA". It matches the Rfam family "Bacterial small subunit ribosomal RNA", at positions 56 to 943 of the family's 1533-position model. Lineage: Bacteria; Pseudomonadati; Pseudomonadota; Gammaproteobacteria; Enterobacterales; Enterobacteriaceae. The record is from RNAcentral.
UGCUAGUCGAGCGGUAGCACAGAGAGCUUGCUCUCGGGUGACGAGCGGCGGACGGGUGAGUAAUGUCUGGGAAACUGCCUGAUGGAGGGGGAUAACUACUGGAAACGGUAGCUAAUACCGCAUAACGUCGCAAGACCAAAGUGGGGGACCUUCGGGCCUCAUGCCAUCAGAUGUGCCCAGAUGGGAUUAGCUAGUAGGUGGGGUAACGGCUCACCUAGGCGACGAUCCCUAGCUGGUCUGAGAGGAUGACCAGCCACACUGGAACUGAGACACGGUCCAGACUCCUACGGGAGGCAGCAGUGGGGAAUAUUGCACAAUGGGCGCAAGCCUGAUGCAGCCAUGCCGCGUGUAUGAAGAAGGCCUUCGGGUUGUAAAGUACUUUCAGCGGGGAGGAAGGCGAUAAGGUUAAUAACCUUGUCGAUUGACGUUACCCGCAGAAGAAGCACCGGCUAACUCCGUGCCAGCAGCCGCGGUAAUACGGAGGGUGCAAGCGUUAAUCGGAAUUACUGGGCGUAAAGCGCACGCAGGCGGUCUGUCAAGUCGGAUGUGAAAUCCCCGGGCUCAACCUGGGAACUGCAUUCGAAACUGGCAGGCUAGAGUCUUGUAGAGGGGGGUAGAAUUCCAGGUGUAGCGGUGAAAUGCGUAGAGAUCUGGAGGAAUACCGGUGGCGAAAGCGGCCCCCUGGACAAAGACUGACGCUCAGUGCGAAAGCGUGGGGAGCAAAACAGGAUUAGAUACCCUGGUAGUCCACGCCGUAAACGAUGUCGAUUUGGAGGUUGUGCCCUUGAGGCGUGGCUUCCGGAGCUAACGCGUUAAAUCGACCGCCUGGGGGAGUACGGCCGCAAGGUUAAAACUCCAAUGAAUUUGACCGGGGCCCCGCACAAGCCGGUGGGAGCAUG